AUGGGGAGAAGGACGGCUAUGCAUGUCUAUGCUCCUCCUGUUCGUAAUGAGAUGGAGUCCAUAUUUAGCAUCUUUAGCCUUGAAUUGUGCUUUACUUGUUUGUAUGUCUUUUACACGAAGCUCACUUUUCUUUUUAUAGUGUAUGGUUUACAUUGGUUCCACUUGUCUAAAAUUUGCAAUUGCCGAUUGAUGCGCAUGUAUGAUUUUUCAAGCAUAAAUACCAAAGCUUCGACUAAUAUAUGUCCUCAUAUAGUGAUGUUCUCUCCAUUUUCCUUUGAAAAAAAAACAAUGGCUAGAUAA
RNAcentral lists this ribosomal RNA (300 nucleotides) under Triticum aestivum (bread wheat). RNAcentral's name for it is "partial small subunit ribosomal RNA". The record is from RNAcentral. Lineage: Eukaryota; Viridiplantae; Streptophyta; Magnoliopsida; Poales; Poaceae.